GAGGUCACAGUUUGGGAGACUUACACUGCUUUCUCCAAAAAAUUGUUUUUUGUAUUUUCAUAAAAGAUAUCAGCAGAAAAUAAAGCAUCCUCCCCACUAGCCAACCAAAAAGAGGAGAAGAAGAGGGGAGGAGAGAAGAAGUAAAUGACUGGUGGACGGACUCGGAUAAAACACAGACAAUCUCCUGAAAGGAAGCCGACUGGCGGUAUGGACCCUCUGAGGGGCUACAACCAAACUGAAGAGGAGAGCUCAUCCUCCUGAUACAACCUCCCAGUCUCAACUGAGGGACCAACACAGGUGAUCCUGAUAGAUCCAGAUUAAUGAUCAUUAUCCAGAACAGUAGACAAGGCUCCUAGAUCACACAGAACUUUCCAGAUAAUCUGACCUCCUCAUAGCACGUCCUCCUUAUUCUUGUUUCCAUAGAAACAAAGAGUCGUAUUGUAAAGCUCAGGGUAGCUGCACACCAUCAGUUUGUCCCCCAUUUUACUCAUAAAUCAACCUCCACCAGUCUGCUGUAGACAGAUGUCACCAGGGGAUCUCAAUGCUGAUUGGCUGUCACAGUGUUUGUGAUUGAUGACUGUUCACCCAGGACUAUCACCGUAUUUAUUUACUAAGGUCAGAAGUGCCACUCAAUGGUCAGGUUACAGUAGUUCAGACGGGCUAAUGCAGUUUGAAUAUGAACUCCUCCAGAGUUCAGGGAUUUCAGGUCAGAUCUAACAGCGGCCUCUCACAGUAGCCUCCCAUUAAACACAUCAGCUCAUCCAGAGCCUGAUCGUCUGGUUAUAAUCAGAGCCUGUUCUGUAGAUGCGGUCCUUAUGUUCCUGACCCUGGUUCAGACAUUAGAUAGACCAUCAACAGAGCCAGCGUGCAGACAAUGAUUGUGCAGAGGUGAAGUCAUCUGUCAGGGAGAGAUUUUAGGAGAUAGUGGAGGAAAUCCAAAACCAGAUCCAGAAUGGAGGCAUCUGUGUUUCUGUUCACAUACAGAGAGAGCUGGAGGCUGACUGCAGCCAUACAGGCUCAUAAUAAAUACACACACACAAACACAAUCACACACACAGCUGAGCAGUGAUGUAGGCUGACAGCCACACAAACAAACAGAUGCUCACCCUCUCCACCCACCCCUUUCUCUCCCCCCCUCUCUCUUUCUCCCUCUCUCUCCCCCUCUCUCUUUCUUUCUCACCCCUUUCUCUCUCUCCAUCUGUGUAAUGACAUCUCACGCUUCGUUUGGGCCCGGCUGCAUAAUUAGCGCUCUUCCAGCUGAUGGAUGGCGCUGCAGCACCUUCACCCUGCCAACCUUGGCCUCACCUCGGGCCAGGCUGAAGAGGCUCGGGUCCGAAAACAUAAAAGUGAACAGAAACUGAACUGAAUUGUGGACUAAACAUACAAAGUUUACUUUGUUUGCUCUUCAGUGAAGUCACAAACUUGUAAGAGCUGAGGAGAGGGUGCACUUCAGUUUAUGUUGACAGAUUAUUGAUUUAAAGUCAAAACAAAGAUAGAGCAAAACAUGAUUUUAUAAACUUUAUAAGAGACAUAAUUUAAGUUAACAUUAAAUGAACACCAGUUAACAUUAUUGACUGACAGUCAUCAUUGAUUACUAUUUAUGGUCAAAUUGAUUAAUUAUCUAUAUCAGCAGCCCUGAGACUGAAACGUCUUCAGAGAAGACCUGAUAAAACAAUUGUUUCUCCCGCUAUUCAAAAUUUCAUGAAUCAUAGAUGCAGUAACCACUGUAAAGGACCGUUAGGAUAAAGUCCUAAAGCCAAGUAGUGAUUUUACUCCCGUAAACGUUCAAAUAAGAUUCUGGUUCCUCUACAACGUUACCAGAAAAAUAUUUGAUUCAGCGAACAAAAUAAAAAAUUGCUUUAAGUGAGGUCAUGUCUGAGUUAUUAAUAUAUAAUUGAAAAAGGAAAGGUCUCAGGGUUGAGCCUUGAGGGACCCCAUGAGAAAUCAAUCUGUGCAGUGUUGCUCCAAUGCCUUUGAUUUCUGGUCCUGGUUUUAAAAUCCAUUAAAAAGAAUAAAUAAAAGCAUUCAAAUAUCUCCUGAGUGUCCGUGACAGGGGUGUGAAUUGUGUUAAUUUAUGUCCUCCUGUUUUUAUUGUGGUCCAGCGUCUGUGUUUUAUUGUUUUUCAUUUUUACAGUACAGUGCUUUGGUUAGCUUUUUUUGUUGUUUGUUUUUAAAUGUGCUUUAUAAAUUUUCUUGGAUUGGAUUAGUAACUAUCCAUCUUUACACAUUACUUUGUGCUCAUGUGUGUGUUAAUAUGACAAAGGGUCUGGGAGCUUCUACUCUUUGUCUUUCCACAGGAAUGAUAGACAAUGCACUAAAGACCACAUCUAUCUAAUCAAACUUUAUUAGCCUGAAUGUAUUUGAAUCCCUGUAAAUGGGCUAGAGGCCGGACUUCCUGGAUGCUCAUGUUUUCACUGGCAUCCUGUGGAUUUUUAGUUCUGCAAGAGUCAGAACAUUUGGUUGUUUAAACUUUAUGUUGCUGCCGUACUUGGAAAACAUCUUGGACCUCAUGGGACUAACCUGACUGAACCAUAUUCCAAUAAAUGAAUAAAUGUAAAGCAUGAUUCAGUGAUUAAACUGAUCUGAAACAAUAAUUAUGGAACGAUUCAAACUCAUUAAGUGAGUUAAAACUUCUGCUUUCUAUCCUCCAAACUCUGACUGAAAUCCUGGAGAGUGCCUCCUCGUUUGCAGGCAGAUCCCAUGAAUAGUCAAUAAGUUCAAUGUAUUUCCAUAAUGAGUUUUACUUUUGCUCCAAAUGUUUGAUUUUUUUCUUAAUCAGAGUAGGCGUCAUAAUUUCCAAAUGCUGAAAAAUCUCAUCUGGAGUGAAACUUUAGAAACGCAUAGAUGGCUGCAGGGAUGCAGAGCGCGCCAAACUUCCAACGAGGGCACAAAUUGAUUCAUAUGUUUCUGUCCACGAUGCAAAUCAGCGGGGAGACGAGAUAAUGAAGCCCCAGAUGACGGGAACCUGCCAAGCUGCUAAUAGCUGAUACACUGAUCGGUUAGUACGCAGGAAACAUUGAUCAGCUGGAUCAGGAUGCCGUCUGGCUGACGCCUGUGGUGUGUUCGCUGACCUGCCGGACCGACAGCUUCAUCAGUCCAACAGAAAAAUGUGUUUUUUAUAAUGCUGUAUUGGCAAGCGGUCAUUCCAUCAGGGAUACAUGGUUUAUAAUGCUGUGAAAUUUCACACUACUUCAGGUUUAAAGGGUUAUUCCACCAAAUUAGACAAACAAGAACACAAAGGUUUCUGGUUUGUGUUGUGCUUCGAUAUUUUAUGCCAAGAUAUCACCAGAAACUGAUGAAAGAAGAAGAAAUGUGAGACUGAGACUUUGUUUUACAGAUUAAUAUGAUGGUAAAUGAGCAGAAAGUUGGCAGAGAUUUCAUUCGCUCUGACCUCUUGAAUUUUCUGAUUAAUUUUGAUUAAUACAUGCAGGGAAAAACUAAGCCAUCGCUGCUGAGUUUGAGGCUUCAAACGAGUUGGAUCAAGAGCUCAGCUCCUGAAGGGAAUAAAUUUUCUUAUGUAACAGCUCUUUAAAUUGAUGCGGUUUUCCAAAAAAAACAAAACCCACACCACAAUAAACCUUCAAGAAAACAUUUUCUACCAGCUUUCUGCCAGAAAACAAAACAAAACAAAACAAAGUAUCACCAAGCUGCCCCUCUUUGGGAGUCAGGUAUUGAGUUCCUCUUGCAAGUUCUAGGUCAGCCCUGGGGUUUCCACCUGAUUGGACAUUCCUAAGACCUCCAAAGAGAGGUUUUGGGAGGAUGUCUUGCCUGAACCACCUUCUUUCAACUCCUUUAGAAGAAAUAGUAGCUCUGCUCCAAGAUCUGUCAAAAAAAUCUGAAGUUCUCACGCUAUCUCUGAAGCCAAGCCUGUACAUCUGUCAAAGGACGCUCCUUUUAGACACUUGCAUUUACAGUCCCAUUCUUCUACUGGUAUCCAGAGCUCAUGACAAUGCACGUGGAAGAGCAAAACACUCAAAUUUCUCUAUAGAGUAGAGGGACCACUCAAUGGCAUAGGGAUCAUCAGAGCUCAUGUCAUGGGUAUCUUCCACAUCUGUGAAGGCUCCAUUAAUACUGAACAAUAUCUUUAGGUUUAGGAGCAACAUCUGCUGCUAUCCAAACUAUGACUUUUCCAGGGCAGAGUUUCAUAUUUCAGCAAGACAAUGGCAAACCACAUUCUGCAGGGAUUGCAACAGCAUGGCUCUGUACUAGAAGAGUCCUGCUGCUAAACUGGUCUGCCACUGGUCUCCAGGGUUCAAAAAUGCUUACAGAGAGUCGGAAAAUGAAGAGCUGAGGACACACAACGAUGAACAUGAACCUAGAACCACUUUUACAAACAUGCUGCUUCAUCAAAUUAAACCAUGAAAAUAUGUUAUUUUUUAAUAUUUUAUGCAGCGUUUCAUGUUUUUGUACGUCUGAAGGAUGUUGAGACGGUUCAUGAAUUUUAGAGUCAAUGGUAGGAAUUUGGACCAAUUGGUACAUAGAGAGCUCUGCCUCUGGGUCUCGAAGAAACCCUCUUCUUUAUCAUAUAAGAUGUCAUGUUGGAAGCAGGUGGGGAGCUGUUUUCAGAGUCGGAUGCAGACAGCUGUCAUGGAAACAGACACCACUUUGUUCAGUGCUGCCAUCUCUGUGUGCAGCUCCUCCUCUGCCACCUCCAUCAGCAUAGCGCUGAGCCCAGCCCUUCUUUCUCUAGAUUCAGGAUCAGAUAGGAAACGAUGUCAAUGGAUAGAAAGAAGAAGUAAUUUGAUGAUGAAUGCUGGAGAGGAGAGCAGGAACCAAACCUAUGAGCAACCCCUUCAGAGCCAGAUGUGCACUGAUAAUCAAAGAAAUGAGACCGACUUAAGGUUUUCCAGCAUUCAGCUGCUGUUCUUAUCCUGCACAAUGGAAAGAGAGCUCUUCAAGUGUUGUUACUGAAACCUCUGAAAACCUAGAUUAGAUGGUGACUCAGACAUGGCCUCAGAAACCCCAGACUUAGAUAAACCCUGAUGGAUUCAGAAAACAAAGAGCAACUCAAACAUGAUUUAAAACUCGAAAAGUAUGUUAGCUUUUCCAUAUGGUACUUUAAAACUACUCAUCACCAGGUUGGGACUGACAGUCUGGGACUGGGACUGGGACUGGGACUGACAGUAUGGUGGUUUAAUCUUCAAAGGGGGACUAAAUGACAAAAAAUUAAGCAUAAAGUGAAAAUUGGAACGGUUUCAUAAAGAAUAGAUCCACCCAAACGGCAGCAGCAGUAAAAACAAUAACAACCAUGGGAAAAACAGCAGAACAACAUUAGAUUAUUGACGGCAAAAAAUCCUUUGAUUCUGUGAAUCGUGAUUUUCUCCUUUCCAAAACAUGGUCACACGAUCUCAAAGGUUCAUCCAACAACAGGACAAUGAGCAUCAAUAGCAACAGAAAGAGUGGAUACAUCUUGAACACUAUAAAUCACACCUACAGGAUGUCACUAAAGGGGUGUCACAAGGAGCUUUCGUAAAACCCAAACUCUUCACACUGUACAGAAAUGAUAUAUGUAAUAUUCUGAAUUAUGUGCUUUUGUAGAUAUUUACUUUUAACUGUUCACUGAUCCAAGGAGGACUUAAAAACCCUGAUGAGUCUCUGAGGGAAGACCAGAGCAUAAUACAAGUACGCACAGAGCUGAUGAAGAGGUAGAACUGAUGGCUUUAUAGAUGGAAAUAAACGUGAACAUAACCGUGAAAACUCUUUUUUUUAUAAAUGUAGAUCGUUUUUUGUUUGUUUUAUUGCUGUUGAAUGGUGGUUAUUAGGUAGUUGGUGUUGGUCUACAACUGGGAUCUCAUAAAGUCUAGAUUUAAACAACGACUUGACCAUGGGCUCAAAGAUUUCUGGAUUAUCAAGAAUCCUUUUAGCCCUAAAGGAGAGUCCAUGCCACAUGUCCAGAGGGGUUGAGAGCACACCUGUUGGUCACAGCAUGAUGUGAGAAGUUAACAAAAAGAGGGAGAACUAAAGUCAGACUUAGUAGAAGCCGGAGUUGCUUCCGAACUUCAGGGAAUAAAUCAUGACUUCAAACCACCGUUUCCUUUAAAACUCAGACACUCGGUUUUUGACUCCUACAGAACAUCAGUGACCGUGAUCUGGACUAAAGCAGGUAAUUUAGCACCUUCUGGUCCAAACCAAACCGAGACACAAAGCCAAGUUUGUGGACUUAAACUAAGUGACUCUGAAACAUUAGCACAGCCGGCUGAGCAGCCGAAUGUCUGCAUGAAGUUUUCUUUCUUUCUUUCUCUGCGAGCACUUUGGCGAACAUCCCCCGCUCUGUGUCAGACGGUUUGUGGUGUCAGAGAGUUGAUCAACCCCAGCAGAAGAUUCCAGUUUAUUUUAGAGGCUGCUGGUCUAAAAAUUGACAAACCCUGUCAGUGAAGUGUGAGCAGGAUGGCUCUAAUGUCUGGUUUGUUAAGUUUCUGUGGUUUCUCGGUCUUCCUCCCCUCCAGCGGGGCAGCAGUGGACCAAUGCCAGAGCUGCAGUCUGCUGAGGAGAAAUGUGUGGAUGUGAUGAGGAGGAGUGCUAACGAGGCUCAGCCAGCUAGGAGGUGAAGCUGCUGCGAGGUGACCUUUGACCUCAGAGACGCGCUCUCUCUCAGACUGGGCUGCCUCUGGCGGGGUCGUGGCGCCCCACGCUCGCCGGGAGGCAGCAACCGGGGUCAGAGUGAAGAACCCCGAGCCUCCGUCCUGCCGUUUCCAACAUCGACACGACCAAUCGACCGGCCGCAGGAGGACGGAGGAGGAAGAGGAGGUGGAGGAAGAGAGCUGGAGAGGAGGGGGAGCCUUUAAUUUCUCUGUCUCUUCUCUCCAUCAGCUGAACAAAUUAGUUUUUAAAACAUGCGAGAGAAAGAGGAGAAACUGCGGCAGAAGAAAUACUCUUGAUAAGUCAAAGUAAAAGAAGCCAGGAUGAAGCUUAUCAGAGUGUCAAGAGUAAAAGAGGAAAAUAAAAACACUCAGACUUUCAUGAAGGACAGACUCUUCAUCCCAAAGCCUUUCACCUGAGCAUCCCCAACAUUUUCAGGAUUUUACAUGAGCUGGACCCGAAAUGUUCGUAAGUUUCUCAGUCACACACAUCCCUCAAAAUGUGAAGCUUUGCCUGUCUUUAAAGAGGGCCGAACUGAGUCUCAGGAGGCAGGUCUGAAAGUCUUGCAGUGAAAGUUACAAAGUGUCUAACAGGACAGAAAACGAAGCAGCGGAGACCUUGAAUGACAACGACAGUUUUUACUUUUACAGCUUUAUUGUAAACACCCAACUGUGCUGUUCUCGUCCU
This is a non-coding RNA of Xyrichtys novacula (pearly razorfish), 7266 nucleotides long. NCBI's taxonomy places the organism in Eukaryota, Metazoa, Chordata, Actinopteri, Labriformes, Labridae. The record is from the annotation of a GenBank genome assembly.